This 1544-nucleotide long non-coding RNA is filed under the name Zea mays. RNAcentral describes it as "long non-coding RNA (ZMAY_LNC004082)". Lineage: Eukaryota; Viridiplantae; Streptophyta; Magnoliopsida; Poales; Poaceae. The record is from RNAcentral.
UCGGCCCGCCUAGAUCUGGAAGCGGAGUGCGAGUCAAAGACGGGGGUGUGCGUGGACUGGAUGAAUUGAAUGGAUCCUUCUCGUUGGUGGAGGCGUCGCUGGUCUUGUGGUCGCUGUAAUCGUGGGAGAUGGAGAUGGUUGCGCCGCGGCAGAGAGGAGCUGGCGGACGACGCGAGGUGGGGGUGUUGGUAACGGGCGUGACCGCCGGAGGUGGGAGCGAAUCCGGCGGCGGUGGCGUAGGACGGAGCGGGGCACACGGGUUCUUGCGGAGACCGGAGAAGGAGAGGGGAUAAAUAAUCGUUUCUUCUAAAGAUUUUGCAGAAGCACCCUGUAGAAAUCCCGUAUUUCUUGCUCAGGUAAGAGUGAGGUUCUCUUGUUGAGGACAUAUCUCGGGCACAUGAAAGUUUGGUGCACAUGGUGCAUAUAUUAAAUCAUCAUCACUCAUUUUAGAUCUAAUGUCUCUAAUUGAUCAUUCAAUUUACAAAUAACACCUUCCACCACUACACACCACCACGUUGGAGGGUGUUCUUAGCAAAAUAUACCAAACAAUUAGAGACGUUAGAUCUAAAAUGAGUGGUGAUAAUUUAAUAUAUACACCACGUGCACCAUAUAUGUUUCCUCUCUUGUUCUCUAUAUGAAUAAUACAUACAUGCAGCCAACUAUUUAAAUCUUAAAUUUAAAAAGUAAAAAAACACUUCUCCAAUAGUUUUUUAAGUGCUUGUUUGAUGGCUAAAUUUAGUUACUUACCAUCUAACGACAUUUACUGUCCAAAUUUGAUAACUUGAUAGUAACUCCUAAAACACAGUUGUCGUUGAUUCAUUCACACCUACGAUGUUUAUUUUUUUCUCUCUUUUCCAUACUGCGAGGUAGUCAUAUCUGACAUUUUUUCAUUUCUUGUGCAGUUAGGCAGUCAUGUCCGAUAUGUAUGACAUAACCUUCUCCUGCACUGUCGGACCAUCACUCACCCACAUGUCACAUCGCUAGACUAUCUCUUCCCAACAGGUCACGUCGAUCGACCUUCACCUCUGUCCUUGAUGUCCACUAUCCUCGAUCUUAUCGUGAGACAGAUUAUAUGGGAGCAGGGCUAUCAAAACUAAAUUUAAAAUCAAACUAUUAUUUAAAUAUGAGGAACUGUUAGAACCAAAAUAUUUUUUUAGCUCCAAUAACUAUUUAACAACUAGCUAAAUAUAAAUUUAUGAAGCUUUUUCUAGAGAACUAUUGUAGUUGUUCCCACGUGCAAGAGCCUUAGGCCCUGUUUAAACCCAUAGAGCUAGCUAAUAAACUAACUAUUAGCUAUGAUUUAACUAGUAAUUAGCUGGUUUUGUUUAGAAUCUUUAAGGUUGUAAAGUUAUUUUUAGUAGGUAAUUAUUAGCUCUAGAGAUUUUAUCUUCCAUUUCAAACUCAACUUUAUAAAUAAUAUGUACAAUUCACCGUGCAAAAAUAGUGUUUUAUACGUGUGUGUGUGUAUAUAUAUAUAUAUAUAUAAAUAUAUAUAUAUUUAUAUAUACAUAUAUAAUCUGUUGAUCAUAGUCUUACAUUUUUUG